This is an RNA transcript of Adelges cooleyi (spruce gall adelgid), 1851 nucleotides long. RefSeq lists it as uncharacterized. The record is from RefSeq and is a predicted model, not a curated record. The transcript has 7 exons. Lineage: Eukaryota; Metazoa; Arthropoda; Insecta; Hemiptera; Adelgidae.
GUGUUCAGACAAUGGGAAAUACGACGCUAUAGAAAUCACAAUAAAGAUUAUUAUAGCUUAUGCACACUGCUCAAUUUGUAUUAAUUGUCCCGGUCUGGAAACGAGGUCAAACGGAUAUAACAACAAAGGGAACCCGUUGAUAAAUUGAAGGGUCGAUGAAUACUAGCGUUUCUCGCAGAUGGAUUAAUAAACGGCAAUAAUUGUCAGGACGACUUUGCCUGUCAAACAAUUAUUACUAGAGGGGUCGGCUGAGGUUUGUGUCACACACCAGCUCUGGCAAUCGUCAUUCGAUCACGAUGGCUUUACUCGUUCGGUCACGAAUUUCUUUUGCCCAUUUUUAGUGAAUUUCCCAUCAUAAAAACAGUUUCGUUUGUGUGUAUUCGACAACGUCAUCAUGUUCAAAAUCUAUAUUGUCUUAUCGGUUGCACUGCUAUGGCUUUCGUUGGACAUUGGUACCGCCACGGGUGGAUCUGGGCUUCAACACGAAUAUACUCACGACGACUAUGUUUAUGCCGUGCUAUCAGCAAACGUUGUCAACUUUACCAUCGUCGAUAAAAACCAAUACGUCGAAAUUACAUUGUUAGUAGAAGGCGUAGGUCUCACGAAAGAUGUAAUGGUGCGUACGACUUCAGCUUUUAAGGGGCGUGGAUCAUUAUGCUUCACAGAUCAACAAUAUAAGUAUGCCGACUCCGAGAGAAACUCGUUUGAAAUAUUGCAAGCAAAUGGUACACGAAUGUAUUUAACCAACAAGUUGAAGAUCGAUGAAAAUGUCGUGGAAGGAAAGUUGUUCCUGUGCCUUAACAGACCACGGUUAUCGACCAGAAAUUCGUCACAUGGUCGUUGGGUACAUCAGGGUGAUUUUGGUUGGAUCGUCUGGCCUGUACCACCGAUGUAUCUGUUUCGUAGAUAUGCAUACGAAGUCACCGAACCUGCAAGUGAAUCUAACUCAUUUGAGACAACAACAAGCGACUAUGGAAAAAAAUACAAACAUCGCGGUAACAAGUUACAUUUUUUAAAUGACACGGCUUGGUCCUAUACAAAAACGAACCGGACGAACACUUUAGUCACCGGUAAUGUCCUCAGGUGCAAAUUCCUCGUCAAAGCCGUUAAAAAGCCAAACUUAUUGGACGACUACAGCAAGACGGAACCCUCAAACCUUCAGCGUGAAACAGUUUAUUUAUGUGAGCACUAGUCGGCCGUAGCGGAUAAAUACAGAAAAAGCGAUAAUAGAUUGCUAUCGCUUUGGUUGGACAUUGGUACCGCCACGGGUGGAUCUCGGCUUCAACACGAAUAUACUCACGACGACUAUGUUUAUGCCGUGCUAUCAGCAAACGUUGUCAACUUUACCAUCGUCGAUAAAAACCAAUACGUCGAAAUUACAUUGUUAGUAGAAGGCGUAGGUCUCACGAAAGAUGUAAUGGUGCGUACGACUUCAGCUUUUAAGGGGCGUGGAUCAUUAUGCUUCACAGAUCAACAAUAUAAGUAUGCCGACUCCGAGAGAAACUCGUUUGAAAUAUUGCAAGCAAAUGGUACACGAAUGUAUUUAACCAACAAGUUGAAGAUCGAUGAAAAUGUCGUGGAAGGAAAGUUGUUCCUGUGCCUUAACAGACCACGGUUAUCGACCAGAAAUUCGUCACAUGGUCGUUGGGUACAUCAGGGUGAUUUUGGUUGGAUCGUCUGGCCUGUACCACCGAUGUAUCUGUUUCGUAGAUAUGCAUACGAAGUCACCGAACCUGCAAGUGAAUCUAACUCAUUUGAGACAACAACAAGCGACUAUGGAAAAAAAUACAAACAUCGCGGUAACAAGUUACAUUUUUUAAAUGACACGGCUUGGUCCUAUACAAAAACGAA